This 499-nucleotide ribosomal RNA is filed under the name uncultured soil bacterium. RNAcentral's name for it is "bacterial SSU rRNA". It matches the Rfam family "Bacterial small subunit ribosomal RNA", at positions 26 to 520 of the family's 1533-position model. The record is from RNAcentral.
AGAUUGAACGCUGGCGGCAGGCCUAACACAUGCAAGUCGAGCGGUAGAGAGGUGCUUGCACCUCUUGAGAGCGGCGGACGGGUGAGUAAAGCCUAGGAAUCUGCCUGGUAGUGGGGGGAUAACGCUCGGAAACGGACGCUAAUACCGUAUACGUCCUACGGGAGAAAGCAGGGGACCUUCGGGCCUUGCGCUAUCAGAUGAGCCUAGGUCGGAUUAGCUAGUUGGUGGGGUAAUGGCUCACCGAGGCGACGAUCCGUAACUGGUCUGAGAGGAUGAUCAGUCACACUGGAACUGAGACACGGUCCAGACUCCUACGGGAGGCAGCAGUGGGAAUAUGGACAAUGGGCGAAAGCCUGAUCCAGCCAUGCCGCGUGUGAAGAAGGUCCUCGGAUUGUAAAAGCAACUUUAAGGUUAGGAGGAAGGCAAGUUACCUAAAUACGUAUCUUGUUUGACGUUACCGACAGAAUAAAGCACCGCUAACUCUGUGCCAGCAGUCCGA